Molecule: RNA transcript, 2549 nt
Organism: Vicia villosa (hairy vetch)
Lineage: Eukaryota; Viridiplantae; Streptophyta; Magnoliopsida; Fabales; Fabaceae
Exons: 6
Source: RefSeq, a predicted model, not a curated record
AAAAAAAAAAUCUAAAAACGCUUCUUCGGUGAAAGCAAACGACUUAUUCAAAAACGCUUCUUCGGUGAAAGCUAACGACUUAUUCAAAAACGCUUCUUCGGAGAAGUACCUUUUUAGCGAUUGAACAGAAGCUAUGGAAACCUAGAAACGCUCCACCGAUUGAAGAUUCACAACCACAAAAGUUAUUCUCGCCGUUCUUCUGAGUACAUAGACGACGACGGUGAUUCUCGCCGUUCUUCUCGCACGCUCUAUUAAUUGAAUUUUUGCUGUUUCGUUUUGUUUAAUUGUGGUUUAUUUUUGAAGUGUUUGUUUACUGGUUAUGCUGAAUGCUGCUGAUAUUUCUUUUUGUGGCAGAUUUAGGGUUUAUUAGAAUGGUUUUUGCAUGCUGCGUUAGAAAUUAGUACAGCACAGAAUGAUUGUAGUUCAAACUCUAGUAAGCAAUGAACUCCAACAUCUAUCCUUCAUGCCCUGCAUUGCUGAUUGAAGGAAUUCUAAGCCAAAAUCAUGGUUUAUGUGUCUUUUAGGUUGCUUAAUUAUAUAUGGUCACUAUAAUUGUGAAUGAUAUCUUAAAAUAGGAGUUAUAGUCAUUGCAUAAAUAUGAGUUGAAUUUGGUGAUAAGGCAUAUAUAUGGUUGUAUGUGCAUAUUAAAUUUAACUGAUGGUGAUAAGGCGUAUACUAAUAUACUAGUAUGGACUUAGGUGCAAGAGGGAGCUCUGGAGGGUUCAGUACGCUCUUAGUCGGAUCUGUAACAAUGAAAGGAAUCUGUUGACACUGGAUGAGAAGAACCCUCAUCGGAUCUUUGAAGGUGAAGCACUUUUGAGGAGAAUGUUUCAAUAUGGUCUUCUUGAUGAAACUCAGAAACCAUAUCUUUUACUUAAUCUUUGUUUUUUGAGGCUCGCUACUGCUAGGAGUGAUAACAGUUUUUGGGGUGAAUCUUCCUAAAUAUUUUCAAGCUUGUAGUCUAAAUGAAGACCGUGGCGGAACACGAAUCAUCCACUGUUUCUGACAGUAGCUUCAGUACCUCUUCACACACUGACACAAAGGCUUGUUAAAUUAAUUAAUUCUAUUGGAUGUGGAUUAAUUAAUUAAAGAGAUUAGUUUCAUUACGGUGCAGAAGUUAAUUAAGGCGGAGGACCAGUACAGAGAAUGGAGAGAGCUACUGCAGAAGUGUGAUAAAUUACUAAACAGUAUAGCGGAAAUAACUGAGUUACAACAACCGAGUCCCGUAUUAGUUCUUGACUCGUAGUUUACAAAGACGACUCGUCGUGCUCACCAUCUCUAGUAAUGAAAAGAUGCAUUGAAUAUAAAGAUGGGGCAUUAUGCUGCUGUAUGGAACUUUAGAGCAGCAGCUGAACUUACAAAGGGCUGGAAUGGAAUUGAUCAAGUUGUACUUCGGACGCCACAAGGUACUUUGGCACGGGUUGUACUCACGAAAGAUGUUAAGGAUGACUUGGCCGAAGAACUAGAUGCCAUUUUUAUAGUUUUUUACAUAGCGGUCAUUAUCUUCAGGGCGUUGCUGUAGAAGAGAUCAAUCGUAUAUGCAGAUUGGCUGGUUGUCUUCUUGCAGUUCUUUAUGGAGUCAACAUCAACAGUUAUUGCACAUGGUGUCCAUAUGUCGACUGUAUCCCUUUCACAAGCUGGCACUGCAAAGACAAAGAAACCUUUUGUGAGCAUUACAUUGUAUCAAAAUCUAUAUUUUGAGGGACUAUAUCUUCUUCAUCAAUUGCAAGUGCCAUGAUUAAUCUUAUUCCAGGAGUUACAUUUGUAAUAGCAGCCUUUGUAGGGUAAUUAAUAACUAACUUAACUUAUUUUCAUUAUUCAAUCAAAAUUCAAGCAAAUAUGUUUCAAUUAAGUCAGUACUAUCUACAUUCAUCAUAACGUAAAUAUGUUUCAAUAUCGGGUUAAAGUAGGGGUGUUCAAAAAUAUGGUUAACUGAAUUGUAUAUUAGAACUGAAUUGCAUUGCACUAUUAAAAAGCUUAACUACUUAAAUGGUUAAUGAACUGAACCAUUUAAUUUAAACAAUUCAAAUUCAGUUUAAAACCGGUUCUAAACCAGUUUUGUUUUAUAAACUGGUUCGAAAAUAUUUGUUUUUUCCUAAAACCAAAAAUAAUAAUUUAGCACAAAAAAAAUAUUUUUAUAAAAUAUUUAUUUCAUAAAAAUUAAAAAAAUCUAAAAAUAAUUUUUUUUGAAAAAUUUAAAAUAAUUAGAGAACCGUCCCUUUCUCUUUCAAUUUCCAAACUCCACGUUUUUGUUUCCUUCCCCUGUUCUCACAAUUCCAUUCUCAGCUUUCCUCUGUUCCAAUCUUUCUCUCCUACUCGAUUCUCUCUCACACUCUUCUCAAACUCAAGUUUCAGAAAAACAAAUAGCUCUCAAACACAGUCCCUAAACAUUCACAUACCAAAGUAUCAACAAUGAAGACAAAAAGUUCUAGCAACAAACAACAAUAACCGCUAAUCAAGUGAUGCCAGUCGAGAUGAGACAAGAUUUUACUGUAACAACAAACGUCUAAUUCUAAAAACUGUAGCUUUUUAUCUUUCGUUUUUUUUUU